This is an RNA transcript of Glycine soja, 3394 nucleotides long. It is a transcript of the gene named DExH-box ATP-dependent RNA helicase DExH3-like, with no coding region annotated. The record is from RefSeq and is a predicted model, not a curated record. NCBI's taxonomy places the organism in Eukaryota, Viridiplantae, Streptophyta, Magnoliopsida, Fabales, Fabaceae. The transcript is spliced from 14 exons.
UAAUUCACUCUUUUCUCCUGCUUCUUCCUGUACUUCUCUCUGUAUCCAAACAUAGGGUACAACAAUCCAAAAGAUUACCGGGUCGGAUCCACCCACGAGUCUCACUCCUUCCUUUUUCACAUUUCAAACACACGCACACCAGUAAAUUGAACACUCGAGGAGGGUGUGAAGAAAGAGGUGCCCCAUAAGCAAAGCCAUAGUAGCAUAAUAGCAAUGCCUCAAGAACGACAAUGCGCAAUUCAAAGUUGUGUGCAGCGUCUCUUCUCAUAGCACGUACCAAGUCCCUCCAACUUCACCAUCACCGCCACGUGCGUCACUGCUUCCCCUUCUUCUUCUUAAACCGCAAUCCCACUCUUCAGGUUUCACCCUUGGCUCUCUUCCUUGUGCAACGCGAAAUCACUCAUCACCACGCGCCUCUUCUCCAGCUACUACUCCCUCGAACAGUUCUCUGAUGACGAAUACGACUGCGACUUCGAGAACCAACAGUGAGUUGUUUGGAAAAGUGGUUGUUGCUAGCAAGGUGCCUCUUCCUAACUACUGUCCAGAUUUGGAUGACAAACGUCCACAAAGAGAGUUGGUGAUUCCACUAAGCUUGCAAAGGAGGGUUGAGGUGAGGGUUUGUUGCAGGAAUACCUUGAUAGACUUCAGCUGAAUUCUGCAAAGACAACUGAUAGCCUGGAUGAUUUGAACUCCACUAAUCAAGUUAAAGAUAUAGACAUGGAUGAAAAUGCUGAUUCUUUUGUGGAUGAAUCUGUUAUGGAAAAGGUUCUCCAGAAGAGGAGUUUGAGGAUGCGUAACAUGCAAAGAGCUUGGCAGGAAUCUCCUGAGGGCAGGAAGAUGCUGGAAUUCCGGAAGUCUCUACCAUCAUUCAAGGAGAAGCAAGGUUUACUUGAAGCUAUAGCACAUAAUCAGGUGAUUGUUGUAUCUGGAGAGGCUGGCUGUGGUAAAAUCACUCAACUUCCUCAGUAUGUAUUAGAAUCAGAGAUAGAGUCUGGUCGUGGAGCAUUUUGUAGCAUUAUUUGCACACAGCCUCGAAGGAUCUCUGUUAUGGCAGUGGCAGAGAGAGUGUCAGCAGAGCGAGGAGAGCCUCUUGGUGAAACAGUUGGCUUCGAAGUUCGACUAGAAGGAAUGAAAGGAAAAAACACCCAUCUGCUAUUUUGUACCAGUGGUAUAUUACUUAGAAGGUUGUUGAGUGAUCGAAACCUGACUGGUAUAACCCAUGUUUUUGUUGAUGAAAUUCAUGAAAGAGGCAUGAAUGAAGACUUCUUACUGAUUGUGUUAAAGGAUCUGCUUCCACGCUGUCGUGAUUUAAGAUUGGUUUUAAUGAGUGCCACCUUGAAUGCUGAGCUUUUUUCGAAUUAUUUCGGAGGUGCUCCUACAUUUCAUAUUCCGGGUUUCACCUAUCCAGUUAGAGCACACUUUUUAGAAGAUAUUUUGAAAUGACCGGAUAUAAAUUGACUUCCUUCAACCAAAUUGAUGAUUACGGUCAAGAGAAAUUGUGGAAGACACAAAAGCAACUAGCACCACGGAAGAGGAAAAACCAGAUCGCUGCUCUCGUUGAGGAUGCUCUUUCUAAAUCAAGCUUUGAGAAAUAUAGCUCCAAGGCACGUGAAUCACUAGCAUCUUGGGCACCUGACUGCAUUGGGUUUAAUCUCAUUGAGGCUGUUCUAUGCCAUAUAUGUCGGAAGGAACGACCGGGUGCUGUCUUAGUAUUUAUGACUGGGUGGGAGAAUAUAAGCUCUUUAAGAGAUCAGCUUAAAGCAAUCCUCUUUUAGGAGAUCCCAAUAGGGUUCUGCUUCUAACAUGUCAUGGUUCAAUGGCAAUUUCAGAACAGGCUUUAGCAGGGACAGCGAAGUCUAGGUUUUCUGCUAAAGAUUACAGUGAUCAUAUGGCUCUUGUUUGAGCAUAUGAAGGAUGGAAAGAUGCGGAAAGAGAAGGGUCGGCUUACGAGUACUGCUGGAGAAAUUUUCUAUCAGCCCAAACUCUUCAGGUUAUUCAUUCACUUUAGAAACAGUUUAGCUUUAUCUUGAAAGAAGCUGGCUUGGUAGAUGCAGAAGCGAGUGUCAUUAACAAAUUGAGUCACAAUCAGUCUCUUGUGCGUGCAGUCAUAUGUUCUGGACUCUUUCCUGGCAUAGCAUCAGUGGUGCACAGGGAGACAUCCAUGUCAUUCAAAACAAUGGAUGAUGGCCAGGUUUUAUUGUAUGCUAAUUCAGUGAAUGCACGUUACCAGACCAUUCCUUACCCUUGGUUGGUUUUUGGUGAGAAAGUUAAGGUCAAUGCUGUUUUCAUCCGUGAUUCCACUGGUGUAUCUGAUUCAAUACUUAUCCUUUUUGGUGGUGCUCUAAGUAAUGGGAUACAGGCUGGGCAUCUGAAAAUGUUAGAUGGGUAUGUUGACUUCUUCAUGGAUCCUAAUUUAGCUGACAGCUAUGUGAAGCUUAAGGAAGAGCUCAAUAAGCUUAUCCAGAAGAAGCUGGAAGAUCCUAGCAUUGACAUUCACAAGGAAGGGAAAUACUUGAUGCUUGCUGUUCAGGAGCUGGUUUCAGGGGAUCAAUGUGAAGGAAGGUUUGUAUUUGGCCGCGAAAGCCGGAAGCCUAAGGCCUCCAAUGAUGAAAACAAAUUUACGAAAGAUGGAACAAAUCCCAAGAGCUUGCUGCAGACACUGUUGAUGCGAGCAGGGCACUCCCCACCAAAAUACAAAACGAAACAUCUUAAGACAAAUGAGUUUAGGGCACUGGUGGAGUUCAAGGGAAUGCAAUUUGUUGGCAAACCAAAGAGAAACAAGCAACUUGCAGAAAGGGAUGCAGCUAUAGAGGCAUUGGCUUGGUUGACUCACACCUCUGACAAUAAUCAGCAUGAAGAUGAUAAGUCUCCUCCUGAUAUAACUGACAACAUGCUAAAACUCCUAGGGAAGCGUAGAAAAUCAAAGCAAGGCCAUGGUUGACAUGUCGUCCAUACAUGGUUUUAUGCGAGUUGGUCCUAUCCUAAUCUUGGAUUAGUAGCCCAGCAUCAUGCAAUUUAAUGCAUGAUGAUGAAAGAUAGGGAUUUAGGUGACAUUUCAUCAAUACAUGGUUAUAGGUGAGUUGAUCCCAUCCUUUCAUCUUGGAUUCAUAGCCCAGCUCCCUGCAAUUUAAUGUAUGAUGAUGAAAGAAAGGGAUUUAGGAGACCUGGUAUGAGGUGCUCAGUCUUGGCAGUUGUUGGCGCUUAAAAGUUCAUUGUAUAUUUUAGCCGUCCCCCUUCAAGCCAAACCCAACAUUUUGGUAUCAAUCUGUACACCAAUGUUUUUAUAUAUCUUGUGUCAAUGUCAAAGACCAAGAUACAUAAAGUUGUUAGUUAGGGAUAACAUUGCAAUUUCUUAUAGCAACAUAAUGAAAUCAAUAUUUUAUAUUUUGCUGCA